This 376-nucleotide ribosomal RNA is filed under the name uncultured Glomeromycotina. RNAcentral describes it as "LSU rRNA". The record is from RNAcentral. Lineage: Eukaryota; Fungi; Glomeromycota.
UUGAAAGGGAAACGAUUGAAGUCAGUCGUACCAGCGGGAAAUCAACCUUUCGAGUGGGGUUUUGGAGUUUUUUGAAGAGUGUCAAAACCUUUGAGAUUUCAAAAUAUUCGCUCUUUUGGUGUACUUUCUCGUGGGUAGGUUAACAUCGAUUUUGAUCAUCAUAAAAAGAUUGGAGGAAUGUAGCUUCGAUCUUGUAUUGAAGUGUUAUAGCCUUUGGUAAAUGUGAUGAUUAGGAUCGAGGAUUGCAACGAAUACCCUUUUGGGCUAUCCGCCUGAUCUCUGAUACGUGGCCUUGGUAUCGAAAGCGUGCUUAUGGUAUUGAGGUAUUACGGUCAAAAGGUUAGAACGGAUUACAUUCGUUAAGGAUGUUGACGUA